ACCGAAAAUAUUUGUCUCUAUGGAGACAGAAUUUUUUGAAUUUAGAGACGGACAAUUUUGUCUCUAAUAGAGACGGAUUUAUUGUGUUUUGAAUUCAAUGUUUAGAGACGAAUAUUUAUUUGUUAGUGACGGAUAGAUUCGGUCUCCAAUCAGAGACGGAAUAUAAAAUCCGUCUCUGAUAGUUUAGAGACGAGGAAAUUAACGACAGAAUCAAAUCUGUCUCUAA
This 226-nucleotide long non-coding RNA is filed under the name Trifolium pratense (red clover). RNAcentral's name for it is "long non-coding RNA (TPRA_LNC007444)". Lineage: Eukaryota; Viridiplantae; Streptophyta; Magnoliopsida; Fabales; Fabaceae. The record is from RNAcentral.